GUAGGUGGCAAGCGUUGUCCGGAAUUAUUGGGCGUAAAGCGCGCGCAGGCGGUCCUUUAAGUCUGAUGUGAAAGCCCACGGCUCAACCGUGGAGGGUCAUUGGAAACUGGGGGACUUGAGUACAGAAGAGGAAAGCGGAAUUCCAAGUGUAGCGGUGAAAUGCGUAGAGAUUUGGAGGAACACCAGUGGCGAAGGCGGCUUUCUGGUCUGUAACUGACGCUGAGGCGCGAAUGCGUGGGGAGCAAACAGGGAUUAGAUACCCUGGUAGUCCACGCCGUAAAUGAUGAGUGCUAAGUGUUAGGGGGUUUCCGCCCCCUUAGUGCUGCAGCUAACGCAUUAAGCACUCCGCCUGGGGAGUACGGCCGCAAGGCUG
This 373-nucleotide ribosomal RNA is filed under the name uncultured organism. RNAcentral describes it as "partial 16S ribosomal RNA". It matches the Rfam family "Bacterial small subunit ribosomal RNA", at positions 527 to 896 of the family's 1533-position model. The record is from RNAcentral.